CUGGGAAUUCUUCCAGGCUUCAUUGCAUCAUUCUUUCACUGUGAACACUUUAUGUAUGUUUACUCCCCCCUUGGAUAAUUUCUUAAGACCUCAGAAUUAUGGACAUACUUUUAUCUUGCUCUCAUAUAAUGUAGCUGUUUUGGGGGGGAAGUCUUCAUUCAUAUUAAUUCCAGAGAGGCUUUUGAAGAUGGUGCUUCCCUGCCCUUUAGAAUUCAGUUUUACUGAAAAAGAGUUAGCAAUUUAG
This 244-nucleotide long non-coding RNA is filed under the name Chinchilla lanigera (long-tailed chinchilla). Its description in RNAcentral is "lncRNA (ENSCLAG00000028377.1)". Lineage: Eukaryota; Metazoa; Chordata; Mammalia; Rodentia; Chinchillidae. The record is from RNAcentral.